RNAcentral lists this ribosomal RNA (392 nucleotides) under uncultured bacterium. RNAcentral's name for it is "partial 16S ribosomal RNA". It matches the Rfam family "Bacterial small subunit ribosomal RNA", at positions 523 to 917 of the family's 1533-position model. The record is from RNAcentral.
AUACGGAGGAUGCGAGCGUUAUCCGGAUUUAUUGGGUUUAAAGGGAGCGUAGGUGGGAUAUUAAGUCAGCUGUGAAAGUUUGGGGCUCAACCUUAAAAUUGCAGUUGAUACUGGUUUCCUUGAGUACGGUACAGGUGGGCGGAAUUCGUGGUGUAGCGGUGAAAUGCUUAGAUAUCACGAAGAACUCCGAUCGCGAAGGCAGCUCACCGGGCCGGAACUGACACUGAUGCUCGAAAGUGCGGGUAUCAAACAGGAUUAGAUACCCUGGUAGUCCGCACAGUAAACGAUGAAUACUCGCUGUUUGCGAUACACGGUAAGCGGCCAAGCGAAAGCGUUAAGUAUUCCACCUGGGGAGUACGCCGGAAACGGUGAAACUCAAAGGAAUUGACGGG